AGUGAACGCUGGCGGUAGGCCUAACACAUGCAAGUCGAACGGCAGCACAGUAAGAGCUUGCUCUUACGGGUGGCGAGUGGCGGACGGGUGAGGAAUACAUCGGAAUCUACUUUUUCGUGGGGGAUAACGUAGGGAAACUUACGCUAAUACCGCAUACGACCUACGGGUGAAAGCAGGGGAUCUUCGGACCUUGCGCGAUUGAAUGAGCCGAUGUCGGAUUAGCUAGUUGGCGGGGUAAAGGCCCACCAAGGCGACGAUCCGUAGCUGGUCUGAGAGGAUGAUCGGCCACCCUGGAACUGAGACACGGUCCAGACUCCUACGGGAGGCAGCAGUGGGGAAUAUUGGACAAUGGGCGCAAGCCUGAUCCAGCCAUACCGCGUGGGUGAAGAAGGCCUUCGGGUUGUAAAGCCCUUUUGUUGGGAAAGAAAAGCAGCAGGUUAAUACCCCGCUGUUCCGACGGUACCCAAAGAAUAAGCACCGGCUAACUUCGUG
This 492-nucleotide ribosomal RNA is filed under the name uncultured bacterium. Its description in RNAcentral is "partial 16S ribosomal RNA". It matches the Rfam family "Bacterial small subunit ribosomal RNA", at positions 29 to 507 of the family's 1533-position model. The record is from RNAcentral.